UGGGAAUUUUGGACAAUGGGCGCAAGCCUGAUCCAGCCAUGCCGCGUGCGGGAAGAAGGCCUUCGGGUUGUAAACCGCUUUUGUCAGGGAAGAAAUCUUCUGAGUUAAUACCUCGGGAGGAUGACGGUACCUGAAGAAUAAGCACCGGCUAACUACGUGCCAGCAGCCGCGGUAAUACGUAGGGUGCAAGCGUUAAUCGGAAUUACUGGGCGUAAAGCGUGUGCAGGCGGUUUUGUAAGACAGAGGUGAAAUCCCCGGGCUCAACCUGGGAACUGCCUUUGUGACUGCAAGGCUUGAGUGCGGCAGAGGGGGAUGGAAUUCCGCGUGUAGCAGUGGAAAUGCGUAGAUAUGCGGNGGAACACCGAUGGCGAAGGCAAUCCCCUGGGCCUGCACUGACGCUCAUGCACGAAA
Molecule: ribosomal RNA, 411 nt
Filed under: uncultured bacterium
Lineage: Bacteria
Description: partial 16S ribosomal RNA
Rfam family: Bacterial small subunit ribosomal RNA
Source: RNAcentral